GUGAGGAAUAUUGGUCAAUGGGCGCGAGCCUGAACCAGCCAAGUAGCGUGGAGGACGACGGCCCUACGGGUUGUAAACUCCUUUUGCGCGGGGAUAAAGUGCGCGACGUGCUCGCGCAUUGCAGGUACCGCGCGAACAAGGACCGGCCAAUUCCGUGCCAGCAGCCGCGGUAAUACGGAAGGUCCGGGUGUUAUCCGGAUUUAUUGGGUUUAAAGGGAGCGCAGACUGCCUGUCAAGCGUGCAGUGAAACGCCGCGGCCCAACCGCGGCCCUGCUGCGCGAACUGGCGGGCUUGAGUGGGCUGGAGGCACGCGGAAUUCGUGGUGUAGCGGUGAAAUGCUCAGAUAUCACGAGGAACCCCGAUUGCGAAGGCAGCGUGCCGCGUCCCUACUGACGUUGAGGCUCGAAGGUGCGGGUAUCGAACAGGA
This 427-nucleotide ribosomal RNA is filed under the name uncultured bacterium. Its description in RNAcentral is "bacterial SSU rRNA". It matches the Rfam family "Bacterial small subunit ribosomal RNA", at positions 354 to 777 of the family's 1533-position model. The record is from RNAcentral.